This 270-nucleotide ribosomal RNA is filed under the name uncultured archaeon. RNAcentral's name for it is "partial 16S ribosomal RNA". It matches the Rfam family "Archaeal small subunit ribosomal RNA", at positions 477 to 747 of the family's 1478-position model. The record is from RNAcentral.
CAGCACCUCAAGUGGUCAGGAUGAUUAUUGGGCCUAAAGCAUCCGUAGCCGGCGCUGUAAGUUUUCGGUUAAAUCUGUACGCUCAACGUACAGGCUGCCGGGAAUACUGCAGCGCUAGGGAGUGGGAGAGGUAGACGGUACUCGGUAGGAAGGGGUAAAAUCCUUUGAUCUAUUGAUGACCUCCUGUGGCGAAGGCGGUCUACCAGAACACGUCCGACGGUGAGGGAUGAAAGCUGGGGGAGCAAACCGGAUUAGAGACCCGAGUAGUCC